UUUGCGGUGAUGAGGUGCUAACAUGUAAGGAGAUCUAUUUAAAGCUUGGAUCAGCUUGGAUCUUCGAUGAAAUUUGCUUGUUACGCUUGGCUUCUGAGCUUC
RNAcentral lists this small nucleolar RNA (102 nucleotides) under Capsicum annuum. RNAcentral's name for it is "Small nucleolar RNA R24". It matches the Rfam family "Small nucleolar RNA R24". From Rfam's summary of the family: snoR24 is a C/D box small nucleolar RNA which acts as a methylation guide for 18S ribosomal RNA in plants. The record is from Rfam by way of RNAcentral. Lineage: Eukaryota; Viridiplantae; Streptophyta; Magnoliopsida; Solanales; Solanaceae.